ACAAAAUGAGAAUAAUGGGGCGACACAUUUAGAGAUAUUUUCAAAUCUGCAGUCAUUUACGGUAUUUAGGAUCUGUGAUUACUUGUUUCCUAACCCUUUACCACAAAGACAAGUGUAUGUCAUCCUACACAAAAGUACGAAAGGAAGUUUCUUAUUUUCUCCUCCUGUUAUUCCAGUGGGAGACCUUCAUCUUGUGAGCAUAUCUGUCCUCUUUUCUGCCUCCUGCUUGUCAGAAGACCCCCACUCGUGUGUUGUUUAAUUCAUCACAUGAGCAGAUGAGGUCUUUAAAGUAGAUUAAGAAUAGAUGAAGUAGUAGGAAAUGAAGGUAUGCCCAAGUCCCACGGCCCAUAUGCUGGACCGCAUGUCCUCAGGACAGGCCUCAAAAAGCUAUUGACAUUUACUGAUGACAUUUACACAUAUGGAUUCAUUUUGGGGGCAUCCCACUGCAUGAAUAAUGCUCCGUGUGUGCACGCACAUCUGUCCAUCUGUUUGUUCAAGCUUCUGUCUCUUCACUACCGGCAAAACCUACCUUCUCCCAGUCAUAAAAUGUCCUAUUAUGUCUAGAAAUUGUGAUGGAUUUUUCUCGCCUUUUGCCUUUUAGGAGUGGAGCUUCUCUUUCUCAUAUUCAUAGAAAUCUGAGGCAAGGUGCUCAUAAAGCUGGCAGGAGUGUUCCAUAAGUGCUCAGAUUCAUUGAGAUUACUCUCAAAUGUCUGAGCAAACUGCAGUGUUUGAAUUGCCUCCACAAACCCAAUGAAUUAUCAGCAUAUUGUUCCAUAAGAACAGUCCUAGUGUUCACUCCGACGAUGACUAGUCCGUCCGUUGUUCUGUUGUCUUCAGCACAGGAAGGUACAGGAGGCCAUGUUGCCGAGCAUGCGGAUGAUAUUAUAGCUCAUUGACAGUUUGCUGCUCCGCCAGCAUAUAAAAGCCAAAACAUAUUGCUACAAAAUGUACCUCAACACUUUCUAAUGUCUCCAGAUUUCGACUGGCUAACUUGCCUUAUUGUAGGCUGCCAUGUUUACCUUUUCAUACAUCCAGUCACCAGCUGCCUCUUUUCACCUGCACUGAGGGCGUUUCACCCAAAUCACCACCUUUUAUCUCAUUGCAACGCAGAAAUGUUAUCAGUCCUGAUAUCAAAGAUUGUUCUCAUUAAAGAACGACUGUCUGGUCAGAUUAUCAUUAUUCCCCAGCCGCCUCAUCUUUUCUUUCCAUUGUUGUCUCUGCGCCGCUCUGCACACUGCAACACCCGACGGAGGGCAGGGAAAACGUGUGCACUGACACGGACUAAAAGAUCAGAGUGCACAAAAAGUAGUUUCCUUCAGUAUUAAAACGUAGUAUUCCCUUUCAGGCGCCUGUGUUGUCGCAUAAUCACGGCCAGUUUAAGUGUCUUUUGUGGGAGCGCAGCUCCGUCAGUUUGUAGUCGGUCAAACUUGCUGAUGUCAUCAGUUUUUACUCCUUCCCACUUGAGGAAGAAGUCACAGUCCGUCGAUGGACCUGGGUUCUAUGACAGAUUGUUAAGGAGCCGCUGCUGUACAGAAGAUGGGCCACUAACACACCAACAUCCUGUCAUUGGUUGGGGGGGGGGGGCGAGGCAAGUAUGCAGUGAGGACGAUGAAUAAUGGAGCACGCUUUAGAGAGCCUUGGUUUGAGGGCGGUAUACGAAUGUGCUAGAAAUGUGUGCCCAUAUACUGUUUGUAUGAUUAAUUGAGUAGGUUUGUGGUCUGAUGGACUCUGAACGCAGAGACACUUGUGACGUACCUCUGUGCUCUGUAUCUACUGUAUUUCCAGUAGAUUUGAAAGAAUCUACUGACAAUCUUAUCUGUUCACAAACACGUAAAUGGAACAUGUGCAAUAUUUUAUGAAAAUGACUUGCUGAAACGCGCUAAAAUGCAACACAUCACCAGUCAGACCAUCAGUGUUUGACCCGACUAUGGAGGUGGAGAUUCAUUAUUUGGGGGUUUGCCACCGAAACACCAUUCAGGCAUUCGACUAGUGGCUCGUACAAAAGUACUGAUUCAGACACCUUUCCAGCUUUGAAGUUUAAGGCCAAAUAUAGCGAACCAGUGGCAGACUGGUGCGGUGGGGGUCAGUCGGCCCGACUCAGCUUCCGGAGUGUUUCCUCAGAGUCUCGGCUACACGUCCCGUACGUCCCCCAGCUCUUAUCAAAGAGAAGGUUAAGUGCACAGCUGCCCCUUUUUUCCAGCCCAACAGCGUCGUCUCCACACCAGCUUUCCUUGCAUUAUCUGUGUGCGACACAUAUAACUAAUUCACACAUACACAAACACACAGGAGAUCUAAAUGUGGCUUAAAAUAUCCAAACUAGAAGUAGGGUGUUUAACCCUGAUGUUUUUGAUCUUCUGUUAAUAAUCAGAGUGUAUCAUCAAAUUUGUGGGAUCAGAAUGUUGGAAUCUUUGUAAUUUGAGCUCAGCAGGUGUGUAUUCAUGUAAAUAUACAUAUGAACACAGGGUGAAUGCAACUGAGCGCAGGAUGAUUGGGACUGUGUCAUAUCCUAGUUAAAAGCCCUGUGGUAAAAGAAGAAACAAUAAAAGGAUAAAGAAGUAGCUUUCACGCUAUAUUAAAGGAUUUGGCCCCGUUGGAUCAUUGUCAAGCCACCUUUUCAGGACCUAAAGAAUUAGAGCAAACACUCAUUGUGGGUGUUAUUGUAGCCACUGUGAGCACAAACCAGAUGAAAAACCGAUAGCUUCCAUCCAUUUAGUAAUCCAGUUAUCUGAAAAAGCUCAAAGCAUCACAAAAGCAUCAUUAUCCCCCCCCCCCCCAUUUCCCUCUAUACUAUAUGUAGGUCUACAAACCCCCCUAGAGUAUCUUGGGUUUGUUGCCUCUGGGGCAUUCCACAAUUGCAAGACUAGGAAAUACUAAUUGUUGUCCUGUAAUGUUUCUCAUAUUGUGUUAUUUCAGGAGGAGGAAACCUAAGUUGUGCAGCCAAUACAGCACCAGUUUCAGCUCACAAAUGUAGAAUUGGAAGAACUUAACUAUGUAGGGAGAAUGCUUGUGUUUUUCUCAAUUUAGUCUCUUUAAAUGAACCGGAACAACAAUUUCAGUUCUAAAGUGUUUUUUUUUCACCAAUAUCCGACCGGUGAAGCUGAAGGUGUCACUGUGAGGAACAGUUCGGUUUAGGGUGCAGCAAUUUCAAGUAUGUAGAGAAGGUGCCAUCUGGAGAACCCAACAUUUACUGAUCAAAAUGUAUUUAUUCCUUUUUUAUUUUCUCACGACAAUCUCAUUUUAUUUACCAGACUGUAAACAUACCAGCAAUUGCAUCGAGACAGCGAGACUAAUAUUGUAUUAUACAAACAUUUCUGCUUCUGUUUUAUAAUGACAUUAUAGAGACAGAAAUCUCUCAAUGACGAGUGUGUCACUGGAAUCAGAAACAUAUUGUAUCGCACUGAUGAUAUAGUGAUGUGUAUCGCACUAUAUCGUGCGAUACUGUUGUGUGGGUGGAGGAGAGAGGACCCAAACGCAAGGGCAGGUAAGGUCUGUUUUAAUCAACUUAGAAUGUCCAAGGCAAAAAGGAACUAAGGUAGCCACAAGGUGGUCUCACAAACAAAAUGGCCCUAAAGGCUUAACAGAAGAGGCGCGGGCGCUUGGCCGGCGACGGGGAAUUCCGGAGAGUGCAGGGAACGAGCUCCAGGGCGAGGGAAAAGCACUCCAGACAGCAGGCCGCCCACGUCAAACGGGAGGCUGGGUGGAACAGAGGUUUGGACUCGGGCCACACCGUAAGGCACGAACCGUUAGCACACGACACAGCAGGAGAAACGAGGCAGCAGGUACGUCGGGUGCAUAGUCAAUACUCUGGCAGAGAACAAGGGGAAGAGGCAGGCUAGAAAUAGAGAGUCUAAUUGCAGAAGGUAGGAACAGGUGAGGGGAAGAGAGGAUGACGAGAUGAGAAGCAGCUGGGAAUGAAUGAGCAGGUCUAAGUGUGUGUGUGUGUGUGUGUGUGUGUAAGUGAAGAAAGGGUUGGAAAGGAAAAGGAGGAUACCCGGUUCAUGACAGAUACGAUAGAUAUACUGAAUCUAUCAUUGUAAUAAAGAUGCACCUCCAUGUCCAAAUAAAAUACCACUUUAAUCAAUUGUUGAUAAUGCCCUCACUUAUAAAUAAUCUAUAAAUCUAUAGCUAUAAGUAGCUAUAAAUCUAUAAUAAAUCUUUUCAUUAAAAUAUAAAUCAUUUUUUUUACGCACUCAAUAAUAUAUUUAGUGUCAAGUGCGUCAUGCGCCUAAAGCGGUGGGAAUUCCUGGCUAUAUAUAGUUUAAGAUCUGUGAAAUUGUUGCAUUUGUCUCCUUCUGACUGCAGUGAGUUGAGCUUUGGUCUCAACUAUGUUUUUCAGUAAAGAACAUCUUAACGCUUCACCACUGCAACUGUAGGAUUCCUCACCGGCCUCCCGGUGGGUUAUUCACCAGCCGCUAUUCUCAAAUUUCUUUGACUGUUGAAUUUAAAUGUAGAAAAUAUGCUUUGCUUGUCCACAGUGUCUAUAAUGCAAUGGCCUGAUUAUGGGUCAUCCAGGGGAACUGAGCUGAUUCCAGCUUCCACUGAGGAAACAACAACUGAGAAACCCUUCGGUCGGGUUGGAAACUCUGAAACGAAUUGUGAUCUAUGGAACUGCAUUGUUCGGCUUCUCCUCGGCAGUCAUUCGUGUUCACUGUCAGUGAAUCAGAAACGCCUUGGUUUCUAAUGCAUUAGGUAUAUUUUGUAUUCUUUGCCUUCCUGUCUUUGUGUCUUGCACCAUGUGUGUUCAGCUGAUAAACUGCACGCGUCAGUCAACCAGCAGGAGAAUGAAGGGAGACUCAGGAUUCUUCCAUAAGACAACUACUUCUACCCCCCCCCCCCCCCUCCAUUGUAGCACAGUGUUGUGUGUGGGCCUCUACUUAAACUCAAACUCACAGAACAUUUAAAAAAAAGAAUUCAGAAUAAUUUCUUGGAUAUAAAGCCAAUUAUUUUCCUUGCAAAGUCAGCAGAAGGAAUCAGCCCACUCACUGUCUCACAUCCCAGCAUUCCUGAACACCAGCCCAACAUUGCGGCUCCUCCGCCGUCAACUAGCUGACAGCUGAGUUCAGGCUCGAGGUCACAGAUCCUGAUCCUGCAGCAUUAUUGGUCCACGCCGCCUUCCGCAGGUUGAGGUUUUUACACCGUUCCAGGCUGAAUCUUAUGGCUUUUUCAAGGCAAUGAGAACUUUAAACCAGCCCAGAGGGAAAUGGAGGCAGAGGGGAGGGGGCGUGACAGGAGUCUACAUCUUUAAUGCCUCCCGGGCUCGGGGCGCAGAUUGCCUUAACUGCUCUCUGUUCAGCGAUUUCUGCGUGGGAUGCUGCAGGAUGGCAGGGGUUGUGGCUGCGAUGGCAUCAAAGCACCAUGAGAGUCAAUAAGCGAAGUGUGAGCUUGGGAGCGAGCAUGCGUCUGUGUGGCUGAUUGCUCGGGAGCUCUGUGAAAAUGCGAGUCGGAGGAGGCACCAGCCCGUCUCGUCUUUGUGUGCUCGUGUCGGUGUGCUUUUAAAUGGAGUUUGUGGUCAGAGCGAGAUAAGUCGCCCUUUAUUAUUAAUGCUGUCAUCCCACCGCAUUGUUCCCUCAAUUACAUUUUAUAUUGGUCGACGCUUUUUGGAACAAUGAUAACCUUUACGUAACAAAAUAUCUGCAGUCCAGAGGUGGAAGAAGCCCCUGGCCUUUAAUUCUUCAUAUCGGGUGUUUACAAUUAAUAUGCCUUGUUAUCCCGUCUCACUAACUUGACGGUGUGCGGAGGAAUUACUAGGCAUCAGAUGGACAAGAUUGAGACACCAAUGAUGCUCACCAAUAAGUUUCAUACAUUUUUUGGUUUUCUUUCCUACGAGCAAGUGGAGCUCGAUGUGCGGAAGCUUUGUGUACGUACUGGGCUCCUUCCCAAAUCUCCUGUUGGCUUUCCUGUUUGAGCUCUAAGAACGGUGUUUCGCCAAGAGCCUUUUCCUUCACUGCUUAACCUACGUAUGUCUUAGAAGAGUACUUGCAUCAUAAGGAUUCCAUAAUUGACUAUCGUUAUGAUGCAGGAUUACUGUCAUUUAAGUACAAUUCCCAGGUACUGACGUUUUACUUCUUUCUCUGCUGUUUAAUGUGUACUUUUGCAUUGUGGUACUACUUGAUGAAAGGAUCUAAAAGAUUCUUUCUUCUGCCGUAACAGCAUUUGUGGUGUCUCCAUUGAUCCCUGAUUCCCUUCCAGCUUUGGGAUAUUCUCCCCCUCUGAAACUCCAGCUGUGCAUCAAACACCAUGGUGCAAAUUAGACUGUGCUCACUCUGACAGGUAGCGUUUUUACCUUGUGGGACCUGUCUGUAUUUCAGUCCGCCUGCUCCUCUGUGUGUGCGCACGCUGUUCGCAUUUGGCUUGCUGUUAAAUCGCCCUCUCACAUUUUUCUGAACCACUCAGCCUCACCUAUUGAUGGAAUAAGUGUUUCCAUGGCAAUAUUGUCACCAAGGCACACUGUAUUUGUGUUUUUUGAUAGAAAACCACAAGUUUUGCAUCCUGUUAUUUUGCUGUUAGGAGUUCAUGUGAAGGCUUUAAGUUGUCCUUGAAAUGUUAGUUUAUUCAAAAUAUGUUUUUCUGCUGUGCCUGUGAUGUGUAAUGCACUAUGUGACCUUGCUUUUCCGCACUGUCCUUUUCUUUAUGAGAUUAAAAAUGGUGCUCUCACCUGGCAACCAA
Molecule: non-coding RNA, 6666 nt
Organism: Gasterosteus aculeatus aculeatus (three-spined stickleback)
Lineage: Eukaryota; Metazoa; Chordata; Actinopteri; Perciformes; Gasterosteidae
Source: RefSeq, a predicted model, not a curated record